This 459-nucleotide ribosomal RNA is filed under the name uncultured bacterium. RNAcentral's name for it is "partial 16S ribosomal RNA". It matches the Rfam family "Bacterial small subunit ribosomal RNA", at positions 338 to 795 of the family's 1533-position model. The record is from RNAcentral.
CCUACGUGAGACUGCAGUGAGGAAUAUUGGUCAAUGGGCGGAAGCCUGAACCAGCCAAGUAGCGUGCGGGAUGAAGGCCCUACGGGUCGUAAACCGCUUUUGCACGGGGAUAACACCCUCCACUUGUGGAGGUCUUCAGGUACCGGUCGAAUAAGGGCAGGCUAAUUCCGUGCCAGCAGCCGCGGUGAUACGGAGGGCCCGAGCGUUAUCCGGAUUCAUUGGGCUAAAAGGGAGCGUAGGCGGGCGUUCAAUGCAGCUGUAAAAUCGCGCGGCUCAACCGCGCCCCGCAGUUGAAACUGGAAGCCUUGAGUGCACAACAGGCAGGCGGAAUUCGUGGUGUAGCGGUGAAAUGCAUAGAUAUCACGAGGAACCCCGAUUGCGAAGGCAGCCUGCCGGGGUGCGACUGACGCUGAGGCUCGAAGGUGCGGGUAUCAAACAGGAUUAGAUACCCCGGUAGUC